This 770-nucleotide long non-coding RNA is filed under the name Suricata suricatta (meerkat). RNAcentral describes it as "lncRNA (ENSSSUG00005020123.1)". The record is from RNAcentral. Lineage: Eukaryota; Metazoa; Chordata; Mammalia; Carnivora; Herpestidae.
CAUUUCCUGUCACCGAAGGCGUUCGUUAGGGUGGGGGUCGCUGAGUUUUGAGUGUAUUUUCACAGGAAAGCUCAUUUCAGAUCUGCGGCAGGAACUAGGACAACUCACACGGCGGGCCUCGGGUUUGCCGGGAGCCCGAGCCCCGAGCCAGCCGCUGACCCCGCCUGUCCUCGGGGCACAGGGGAGCCAGCAAACCCCCAGCCGCCCAUGAGGCCAGCGGGGGUCCAGCUCCGGUCACAGGAAAAAAUAAGAUAGGCUCUUUCCCACCCCCCCCUCGCCUUUACUCAUUUUCUCUUCCUUUAUUGGAGAAACCCCCUUCCCGCAAAUUUGGUGAUUUGUCUUGUUGUGUUUCCUCUAUUGAUUGUUUAGCUAGUGAUUUUGCCAACUUCCUGGAUGUUCAUUUCUGGUUCUGCACAAAAGAGCCACAUUUCCUUUUGGAUCCGGGAUCAGGAGACAGACAGCAGCAGAUCCGGGAAACAGCUGUGAGGACUUGAGACUGAAUGCAAAGGCUGGGCCCUAGAACGUGCUGGGCGAAGGGCCCCGUCACAGCCGUCCCUGCCAGUCCCUGGAGCCCCGAGAUGGAUGGGCAGCAGGGCUGCCUGGCAUCAUGUCUUGGCCGCCCGCCAGCCGGGCGCCCUGAACGCAGGAUCCGGGUUUUGCCGUCAGACUUGCUCCGGGCAGUGAGGUGCCAGCCAGCGUCACACGGGGACAAGCUUGGAGACACGGUUCCCGUUUCCGCCAGCAUGUUCCCACCGCCGCCGCCAGCCUGA